CCUACGGGCGGCUGCAGUGGGGAAUAUUGGACAAUGGGCGAAAGCCUGAUCCAGCCAUGCCGCGUGUGUGAAGAAGGCCUUCGGGUUGUAAAGCACUUUCAGUGGGGAAGAAAGCCUUGGGGCUAAUACCCUCGAGGAAGGACAUCACCCACACAAGAAGCACCGGCUAACUCCGUGCCAGCAGCCGCGGUAAUACGGAGGGUGCGAGCGUUAAUCGGAAUUACUGGGCGUAAAGCGCGCGUAGGCGGUCUGAUAAGCCGGUUGUGAAAGCCCCGGGCUCAACCUGGGAACGGCAUCCGGAACUGUCAGGCUAGAGUGCAGGAGAGGAAGGUAGAAUUCCCGGUGUAGCGGUGAAAUGCGUAGAGAUCGGGAGGAAUACCAGUGGCGAAGGCGGCCUUCUGGACUGACACUGACGCUGAGGUGCGAAAGCGUGGGUAGCAAACAGGAUUAGAUACCCGAGUAGUC
RNAcentral lists this ribosomal RNA (465 nucleotides) under Vreelandella stevensii. Its description in RNAcentral is "partial 16S ribosomal RNA". It matches the Rfam family "Bacterial small subunit ribosomal RNA", at positions 338 to 795 of the family's 1533-position model. Lineage: Bacteria; Pseudomonadati; Pseudomonadota; Gammaproteobacteria; Oceanospirillales; Halomonadaceae. The record is from RNAcentral.